This 440-nucleotide ribosomal RNA is filed under the name uncultured bacterium. RNAcentral describes it as "partial 16S ribosomal RNA". It matches the Rfam family "Bacterial small subunit ribosomal RNA", at positions 338 to 795 of the family's 1533-position model. The record is from RNAcentral.
CCUACGGGUGGCAGCAGUGGGGGAUAUUGCACAAUGGGGGGAACCCUGAUGCAGCGACGCCGCGUGGGUGAAGAAGCGCCUCGGCGCGUAAAGCUCUGUCAGCAGGGAAGAAAAUGACGGUACCUGAAUAAGAAGCCCCGGCUAACUACGUGCCAGCAGCCGCGGUAAUACGUAGGGGGCAAGCGUUAUCCGGAUUUACUGGGUGGAAAGGGGGCGGAGACGGCGUUGCAAGCCUGAAGUGAAAGCCCGGGGCCCAACCCCGGGACUGCUCUUGAAACUGCGUGGCUGGAGUGCAGGAGGGGCAGGCGGAAUUCCUGGUGUAGCGGUGAAAUGCGUAGAUAUCAGGAGGAACACCAGUGGCGAAGGCGACCUGCUGGACUGCAACUGACGUUGAGGCCCGAAAGCGUGGGGAGCAAACAGGAUUAGAUACCCCAGUAGUC